ACUAACCCCAUGGCAGUUUCCCGAAAUGCUCCUUUUCUUCAUGUUUCAAGAGCAUCGCAUAUGUGACAUAUGUACACUCUGGACUUCACCUAGGAAGCGAUCUGAAAGGAUGCCUGAAAUUGUGCUUCUCUUUUGAACUCACAAAGCACAGACUGAAAUUUAGGGUUGGAUUCACAAACAUAUUCACCUGCCUGGGUUCAGAGAGGAGUGAUCAGUAAGAGCUGCAAAAGUGCCAAAGAGAGUUAGGCGCGUCUACGUUAGCAGUUAGGUUGGCUUGGCUAAGACUGUGCUUUUGAAGUGACUCUCCUGAUUGCCUACCUUCCUGUGCCUGGGUGGCCCAAGAGUGCGCAAAACAAACCUUUCUGAUGGGCCUAAGCGAGAAGAUGAGCUGUUGAUGACCUUUCUGAUGAGCUGCACACAUGAAAUACCAGUGGGCCCUCAGUUCGCCAGACCAGACUGGAGGUCUUAUCAGCAGCAAAGAGAAGUUAAUGGAAACCUUUGGAGACUUACUGGCCACUGGGGAGAAAUCAGUUCCAUUAUACAUUGCAGAGUGAAAUCCAUUUAAUCUGUUUUAACUCCUGGCUGCUCAGCAACUUGGAUGGGUUGAUAAUUUCAAUCUACAUACACAGUACAGAGUGCUGAGCAUUUCCAGCUCCUGGUGUCACACUGGGAUCCACCUGUGUCGAGCAGCUCACCACAGUGAAGCUUUCUUUGAGCCAUGGAGGCAAUGGGAGCCAGGAAGGAAAGGGCCGUGUGUCCUCAGCACCUCUUUGCACGACUCCAGAGGAUCAGAGGAUGGACUUCGACUGGUGGCAGGGGAAAGAUUGAAAAGGUUCUUUGGUGAACUGUUCUUUAUCCAGCCAGGUGCUUUAAUCACGCUUGCUGAUGAAUUCAUGAAUGAAGGGUUUGAGAAAGCCAGUGAUCUCCAGCACCAGGAAGCAAAGAAGGCCCUGUGCUGACCUAAAAUUGCGUUGCAUAUAAUCACAGAGCUGCAGGACCUGGCAAGUCUGGCUGUCUUUUAAGAGAGCUCAGCAAGAACGCAAGAGAGGCAGGUGUCCUUGGGGCUUUGGGAGGGCUGCCUGAAGCAACAGCGAGGCUUGUUCCAAGUACACAGCGAAGUAAUGAUGAAGUUCAAAGAUAGCUUUGAAAUAAAGGUGCAUCCUGACUCUGCUUUUCUGCAAAGAGCAAUUAGGGAAACCAUCAUUAGGAACUCCUGAAAACAGAAAUUCAAAACCAGGCUAUGGAGCAAGAAGACUGAAUUGUAGAGUGGGGAGAACCAGUUAUCUUCCUGUGUCUCCUCUACAGUAAUGGCUGAUAUGCAGACUCCUUGACUUGUACACAGCAGCAAGCAGGAAAGCAGCAGAGGGUUAUAUUACUGGUUCAGUGGCUGGAAGGGUCUCCUCUGGCUGUUGGGGUGUGUGUACUUUAUACACAUAAGACUGUAAGCAAAAUGGUUUUCCUAAUGAUUCCUCAAGUAGCAUUAUUCAGUUGUAAGAAAAGGAGGUAUUUGCCUUACAGUAUACGGAGAAAUGAUCUACCAUAUCUCUGCAUAAUGAUAAUGAUAUUAGAAACUAUUUUAAAACAGGGCAGUCUUAGAUUUGGGAGGAUUGGGAUAGGACAUGAAGGAUGACAGAACCCCACUGUACUUUGUCUCUUUUUUAGUGGAAGUAGAUUUGAGUUAAAACCCCAUUGAAUCAGGCAGGAUAAGAGGAAUUUUGGAUCUGAACCAGGUUUCCAGAUUUAGAAAAAUGCCAUGUCUCUAGCAGGUCAUAAGCAAUUUUAUUCCUUUCCUCCUCCUUUGUGAUUUGUCUUUCCAUACUUCUGGUGAGUUCUAAUGGUCAGAGCAGGUAAGGGGCAGCUUUGAUGAUGUUUUUGUCUUUUCAUGCACCUUGGACAUGGGAGAGUAAUUAUAGUUGUCUCCAAUCUCUGUAAACACAUAAAUGUCACCCUCAAGCACAGGAUACACAGGAGAGAAAAAGCUUUAUUUACCCUUUAGCUCACUGCAAAUCUGCAUAAUGCUGGGAGAAAUCCUCGGCCUAAUUCUCCUCUCAGGGCAUCAGUAGAAACCAGACAAAUUUCAUUUGGAAGGCAAUUCUUCCAGAAGAUGUGGGAAGUAACCUGAAUACUGCGUGUAACAGGUCUGCAAAGCUAACAGUCCCUGCUUGCCUCUUUUCCCUGGAUCUUGCUCCUAGACUAUGCAAAGGUGAUAAAACUGGCACUUCAGGAUAAGGCUCACCUCAUCUCGAAAGGAGAGCUUUAAAAAUGAAGAGUAGGCCAACUUACAAGUUGUGCAUAGAUAAACAGAUAGUAACGUGAAGUUAGUUUUUAAUAUUCAGCUUCCAAUUGUUCUGGAGAGGGAGAUAACAAGGCUAUUCAAAAAUUCUGUCUGAACACAGCAUAAAUGACUGAAAGUUGCUGCCAAACCAUCCAACUGCCCUUCACAACACAUCAAACUCCCAGAAUGGUAUAACUUCCUCUUGGCAAGGACAUUUGAUAGUCCACAGACUUCAGUGUCAGAGCUGGAAAAAAAGCAAAACGAGCAAGUAAUAAAGCAAA
Long non-coding RNA from Dromaius novaehollandiae (emu), 2556 nucleotides. RefSeq lists it as uncharacterized. The record is from RefSeq and is a predicted model, not a curated record. NCBI's taxonomy places the organism in Eukaryota, Metazoa, Chordata, Aves, Casuariiformes, Dromaiidae. The transcript is spliced from 6 exons.